UCGUUAGCUCAGUCGGUAGAGCAGCGGACUUUUAAUCCGUUGGUCGCUGGUUCGAAUCCAGCACGG
RNAcentral lists this transfer RNA (66 nucleotides) under Betaproteobacteria bacterium. RNAcentral describes it as "tRNA-Lys". It matches the Rfam family "tRNA", at positions 5 to 66 of the family's 71-position model. Rfam says of the family: Transfer RNA (tRNA) molecules are approximately 80 nucleotides in length. Their secondary structure includes four short double-helical elements and three loops (D, anti-codon, and T loops). Further hydrogen bonds mediate the characteristic L-shaped molecular structure. tRNAs have two regions of fundamental functional importance: the anti-codon, which is responsible for specific mRNA codon recognition, and the 3' end, to which the tRNAs corresponding amino acid is attached (by aminoacyl-tRNA synthetases). tRNAs cope with the degeneracy of the genetic code in two manners: having more than one tRNA (with a specific anti-codon) for a particular amino acid; and 'wobble' base-pairing, i.e. permitting non-standard base-pairing at the 3rd anti-codon position. Lineage: Bacteria; Pseudomonadati; Pseudomonadota; Betaproteobacteria. The record is from RNAcentral.